CGACCCGCGCCCCUCCCAAAGAUGGUGAGGUGAAGCUCCCACAGAACCCCGAGGAGCGGCCCCGACUUCUCUCCCACGGCGAGGAGCGGCUUUUCCAGAGCGCUCCAGGAGCGCGGCUUCCCUGGAGCGGAGCCGGGACGGGGGUUUUCCCCGCGCUUCAGCGCAUCCUGAGGGGACGCGCGCCCUGGAUUAAGUAAGGAAAAGCAUUAAGACUUCGCAUAUCACUGAGGCUGAGCAUCAUGAAAGAUCUGGCAAGAGUCAAUUUUUGCCUAAAGAGACGUGUUUGGGAAAGAAAACACAGCUUUCUGCCUAAUUAGACAGGUUUGAGACAGAAAACACAGUUUUACGAAGGGAUAGGUGAAUUAGCAAAGAAAACAACAAAAAAAAGUUGAAAAUCACCAGCGUACCCAGAAAGACACAUUGUAGCAGGCUGGCCUGACUCGCUGAAGCUGUGACACGAGCACCAGAGCUGACAUGAAGAGAGCAUCAGGAGAGCACAUCCACAAACCAAACCACCCCUUUUGGAGACAAGAUGUGAAAUCAGAUGCUGCAAGAGCACACAGCAAUUUCUGGUUGCAAUGAAAUUCUCAACAGACCUUGAAAAACCCUCCGUGCUUCUGACUUCUUCCAGGACAAUUUGGGAGCUCCUGAACCGCUUCUGGGGUCGCAAAAUUCCUUCCAGCGUGAGGAACAGUGAGUCUGAAGGAGCUGCUUGGCAGAGCUCUUCGGGCUGAGUGACUGGGCUGAGCAUUCCCAAGGUAAGGUUCACAUCCCUGCUUUGCCCCAAGUCAAGAUUUCCUCUCUUUGUGCUUUUAGCUCUAAACCAAUUAUUUGUCUCCAGUUUUAUGUGCCUGAUCCUGCAGUCCUGAGGAAGGACCAGUCCAAUAGUUGCCAUUUUCCUUCUCUUUCUCACUUUCCCAUCAGUGCACUCUGCAACUUGAAGCUCUGUAUGCACAGUGUGUCAAACACUCUGAUUUUCAGCUUCAAGAUGAAAUCAGAGAAGGGAUUCUUGUGCUGGGGGGCUUGGUCUAACCUGCUGCUCUGUCCCAGAAUUAACUAAAACCACAGUUCUUCAAGGAUUUUAAUUGUAGUAUUUUUGCUUUUAAAUGCCUGAUGAGGAAAAGCCAUGUCAGUGGGGUGCAGCAUCCUCCCUUAUGCAGGGAAAGAGGUGGGAAAUGGCACAUUUUGAGGCUUCUGUGGAACUGUUUCCUGGGGCUGGAGAGCAGACUCUGCCU
Neopelma chrysocephalum (saffron-crested tyrant-manakin) is the source of this 1235-nucleotide long non-coding RNA. RefSeq lists it as uncharacterized. The record is from RefSeq and is a predicted model, not a curated record. Lineage: Eukaryota; Metazoa; Chordata; Aves; Passeriformes; Pipridae. The transcript has 5 exons.